CAGCAGCCGCGGUAAUACGUAGGGUGCAAGCGUUAAUCGGAAUUACUGGGCGUAAAGCGUGCGCAGGCGGUUAUAUAAGACAGAUGUGAAAUCCCCGGGCUCAACCUGGGACCUGCAUUUGUGACUGUAUAGCUAGAGUACGGUAGAGGGGGAUGGAAUUCCGCGUGUAGCAGUGAAAUGCGUAGAUAUGCGGAGGAACACCGAUGGCGAAGGCAAUCCCCUGGACCUGUACUGACGCUCAUGCACGAAAGCGUGGGGAGCGAACAGGAUUAGAUACCCCGGUAGUCCCUGUCUCUUAUAC
RNAcentral lists this ribosomal RNA (301 nucleotides) under uncultured bacterium. Its description in RNAcentral is "partial 16S ribosomal RNA". It matches the Rfam family "Bacterial small subunit ribosomal RNA", at positions 509 to 807 of the family's 1533-position model. The record is from RNAcentral.